GACGAACGCUGGCGGCGUGCUUAACACAUGCAAGUCGAACGGAAAGGCCUUGCUUUUGUGGGGUGCUCGAGUGGCGAACGGGUGAGUAACACGUGAGUAACCUGCCCUUGACUUUGGGAUAACUUCAGGAAACUGGGGCUAAUACCGGAUAGGAGCUCCUGCUGCAUGGUGGGGGUUGGAAAGUUUCGGCGGUUGGGGAUGGACUCGCGGCUUAUCAGCUUGUUGGUGGGGUAGUGGCUUACCAAGGCUUUGACGGGUAGCCGGCCUGAGAGGGUGACCGGCCACAUUGGGACUGAGAUACGGCCCAGACUCCUACGGGAGGCAGCAGUGGGGAAUAUUGCACAAUGGGCGGAAGCCUGAUGCAGAAACGCCGCGUGCGGGAUGACGGCCUUCGGGUGGUAAACCGCUUUCGCCUGUGACGAAGCGUGAGUGACGGUAAUGGGUAAAGAAGCACCGGCUAACUACGUG
RNAcentral lists this ribosomal RNA (468 nucleotides) under uncultured bacterium. RNAcentral describes it as "partial 16S ribosomal RNA". It matches the Rfam family "Bacterial small subunit ribosomal RNA", at positions 28 to 507 of the family's 1533-position model. The record is from RNAcentral.